This is a long non-coding RNA of Ipomoea nil (Japanese morning glory), 573 nucleotides long. RefSeq lists it as uncharacterized. Lineage: Eukaryota; Viridiplantae; Streptophyta; Magnoliopsida; Solanales; Convolvulaceae. The transcript has 2 exons. The record is from RefSeq and is a predicted model, not a curated record.
AGAGUGGCCAAUUUUAUACGGAGUAAUUGCUAGACUAAACGGGUAAACCCUAGUACCCUAUUGUUCCUACGCAUCUCAUUCUUCAACUCUUCGCAAAUCGCAGCGACCCGCCGACGCCGCGAGGUUGGACGCCGGAAACUGGUCAGAAGCACAAUAGUGAUUCUUGUAAGAUGGUUGUUUUUACAGCAUUCAAUCGCCUUGCACCCAAAACCAAGAAUCUUGUAGUUGCUGGAGGCUUGUCAGGAUUUGUCUUUGGGGUGUAUUUCUACACCAUGAGAGCUGUCGGAGGCACAGAUGAACUUCAGAUUGCCAUUGAUAAGUUUGAACAGGAGAAACAGAACAAAGACACUAAAGCAAGUUUGGCAUCAAAUACAUAAUAUCACUGUCAUAGUUAGGAAUAAGAAACUGUGGUCUUGGCAGGAGGAACAGAAAUGUCAUCAGAUUCUAGUUGUUAAAAUAAUGUUUUUGCUUUUAGACUCAAGUUUAAUGUUUUGUUGUAAAUAAAUCAAGAUUCUGCAUUUCCUUCCAUGUUUACCUGAGAAUAUGAUUCUGAAAUAAGAGUUCAGAGUUCUA